CCUACGGGUGGCAGCAGUAGGGAAUUUUCCUCAAUGGGCGCAAGCCUGAUCGAGCGAUGCCGCGUGAGUGAAGAAGGCCUUCGGGUCGUAAAGCUCUGUUGCGGGGGAAAAAAGGCAGCAUCCGGAAAUGGGUACUGACUGAUGGUGCCGUGCCAGAAAGUCACGGCUAACUACGUGCCAGCAGCCGCGGUAAUACGUAGGUGGCGAGCGUUAUCCGGAAUGAUUGGGCGUAAAGGGUGCGCAGGCGGUCCUGGAAGUCUGAAGGGAAACGCAUGAGCUUAACUCAGGAAUGGCUUUGGAAACUGGAGGACUGGAGAGCAGGAGAGGGCGGUGGAACUCCAUGUGUAGCGGUAAAAUGCGUAGAUAUAUGGAGGAACACCAGUGGCGAAGGCGGCCGCCUGGCCUUUUGCUGACGCUGAGGCACGAAAGCGUGGGGAGCAAACAGGAUUAGAUACCCCAGUAGUC
RNAcentral lists this ribosomal RNA (465 nucleotides) under uncultured bacterium. RNAcentral describes it as "partial 16S ribosomal RNA". It matches the Rfam family "Bacterial small subunit ribosomal RNA", at positions 338 to 795 of the family's 1533-position model. The record is from RNAcentral.